Molecule: ribosomal RNA, 488 nt
Filed under: uncultured soil bacterium
Lineage: Bacteria
Description: bacterial SSU rRNA
Rfam family: Bacterial small subunit ribosomal RNA
Source: RNAcentral
AGGAUGAACGCUGGCGGAGUGCCUAAUACAUGCAAGUCGAGCGGCAGCGCGAGUAGUUUACUACUUGGCGGCGAGCGGCGGACGGCUGAGUAACGCGUGGGAACGUGCCCCAAAGUGAGGAAUAACUGCCCGAAAGGGUAGCUAAUGCCGCAUAUGAUCUUCGGAUUAAAGGAUUUAUCCGCUUUGGGAGCGGCCCGCGUCAGAUUAGGUAGUUGGUGAGGUAAAGGCUCACCAAGCCGACGAUCUGUAGCUGAUCUGAGAGGAUGAUCAGCCAGACUGGGACUGAGACACGGCCCAGACUCCUACGGGAGGCAGCAGUAAGAAUCUUCACAAUGGACAAAGUCUGAUGGAGCAACUCCGCGUGCAGGAUGGAAGGUCCUUCGGGUUAGUAAACUGUCUUUUUAUUUGUAGAAGUAAUAGUGAACGGUAACAAAUGAAAUAAGGUCGACUAACUACGUGCCAGCAGCCGACGGUAAUCGUAGAGGCGG